GUAGUUUGACUGGGGCGGUCGCCUCCGAAAAGGUAACGGAGGCGCCCAAAGGUUCCCUCAGGCUGAAUGGAAACCAGCCGCAGAGUGUAAAGGCACAAGGGAGCUUGACUGCAAGACCAACGCGUCGAGCAGAGUCGAAAGACGGGCUUAGUGAUCCCACGGUACCGUGUGGAAGGGCCGUGGCUUACCGGAUAAAAGCUACCCCGGGGAUAACAGGCUGGUCUCCCCCAAGAGUUCACAUCGACGGGGAGGCUCGGCACCUCGAUGUCGGCUCAUCGCAUCCUGGGGCCGGAUAAGGUCCCAAGGGUUGGGCUGUUCGCCCAUUAAAGCGGUACGUGAGCUGGGUUCAGACCGUCGUGAGACAGGUCGGUCUCUAUCCGCUGUGGGCGCAAGGGAUUUGAGGGGAGCUGCCCCUAGUACGAGAGGACCGGGGUGGACAGACCUCUGGUGUGCCAGUUGUUCCGCCAGGAGCAUCGCUGGGUAGCUAUGUCUGGCAGAGAUAACCGCUGAAAGCAUCUAAGUGGGAAACUCGCCCCAAGAUUAGAUCCCUCAUCCCGUUAAGGGAGUAAGGCCGCAGGAAGACCACCUGCUUGAUAGGCGGCAAGUGUAAGUCCCGCAAGGGAUUCAGCUAAGCCGUACUAAUGGCCGAGGGCUUAACGUG
RNAcentral lists this ribosomal RNA (661 nucleotides) under Chloroflexota bacterium. Its description in RNAcentral is "Chloroflexi bacterium (marine sediment metagenome) partial 23S ribosomal RNA". It matches the Rfam family "Bacterial large subunit ribosomal RNA", at positions 2265 to 2925 of the family's 2925-position model. Lineage: Bacteria; Bacillati; Chloroflexota. The record is from RNAcentral.